GAUCAUGGCUCAGGAUGAACGCUGGCGGCGUGCUUAACACAUGCAAGUCGAACGAGGCUGCCGACGGAAGUUUCGGAUGGAAGACGGCAAGACCGAGUGGCGGACGGGUGAGUAACGCGUGGGGAACCUGCCCCAUUCCGGGGGAUACCAGUUGGAAACGACUGUUAAUACCGCAUAAGCGCACGAACGGACAUCCGUAUGUGUGAAAAAACUGAGGUGGAAUGGGAUGGCCCCGCGUCUGAUUAGCCAGUUGGCAGGGUAACGGCCUACCAAAGCGACGAUCAGUAGCCGGCCUGAGAGGGCGACCGGCCACAUUGGGACUGAGACACGGCCCAAACUCCUACGGGAGGCAGCAGUGGGGAAUAUUGCACAAUGGGGGAAACCCUGAUGCAGCGACGCCGCGUGAGUGAAGAAGUAUUUCGGUAUGUAAAGCUCUAUCAGCAGGGAAGAAGAUGACGGUACCUGCACAAGAAGCCCCGGCUAACUACGUGCCAGCCGCCGC
RNAcentral lists this ribosomal RNA (502 nucleotides) under uncultured bacterium. Its description in RNAcentral is "bacterial SSU rRNA". It matches the Rfam family "Bacterial small subunit ribosomal RNA", at positions 15 to 518 of the family's 1533-position model. The record is from RNAcentral.